Molecule: long non-coding RNA, 6610 nt
Filed under: Hordeum vulgare
Lineage: Eukaryota; Viridiplantae; Streptophyta; Magnoliopsida; Poales; Poaceae
Description: long non-coding RNA (HVUL_LNC004157)
Source: RNAcentral
CUCAUUUAACAUGCUUAGGUAGUGUAGUUUAUUUAUGCUUCACCUCUUGCCAUGCUUAAUAACAUUUAAUAUUGUGGUGUACCUAAACGGGAGUAAAAUAAGUAAUCCAAAAGUGGAGUUCAUCAAUAUGCAACUCGUUGCAUAUAUAGCUUCACUUAAUGCGUAGAGUUUGAUUGUGGUGCUUGUCAUGCCUUCAAUAAUUAAACCGUACAUGCAACAUAUUUGAUUGUGCAUCAUGUCAUGCAUAUGUUGUGGUGUUUAUUGUGUGCUGAUUGUUGUUUCCGGAUUGUUUAUUCUCGAUAUAGUUCCAAACCACUUCGGAGUGUGAGGAUCCAUUCGACUACAUUGGUUCGUCUACUUCACACACUAGUAAGCAUGCAAGUGCAACACACGUAUCAUAAUCUAUAAUAAGACAUUAUUUAAUCUUAUUUAUCAGUUCUUUGUCAUGUCAUUUAAAUGUGUCUCAUGCACAUGAUGAGAGUGCGCGUGUAACACGAUUCGAAAACAUGUCUUCACAUAUAAUUCACAAUCACAUAAAUGUACUAUCAUUAGGUACAAAAAUAUUAAAAAACAACUGAGAAACAAUAUCUACUAUUUGUUCUUUGAUGAUUAUUCCGUUUGUUUCUACAUAUAAUUUUUUUUAGAGAUUUUAUUAACAAAUUACAUAUGAAUGUAAAAAUUUGGUAGUAGAAAAGGUCACAACGACGUAGAACUCAGCACACAGUCGGACACAUGCCCCGAUCAGGAAAAGAAACUGAACAACUCGGUUUGCUCCACUCGCUCACUCCACAUGUGGAUAAGCUCCACUCUCCCUCAUAGAACACGACUGCCCCUCUUCCACUGCAUCCCCACCGGCGGCGAGACGAACACCCACCCGUGGCCGGUCCAUGGCGGCCGCCCUUCCUUAGCCGCCGCGCCAGUCGCUGGCCUAUGCCCCCCCUCUUGCCGUUCGCCUACACCAGCCUCNCAUGAGCCUAUCCACCUUCUCUCGUGCGACACGAACUUCCAUCCCCGUGCUCGGGACGCCAUUAAGGUCCGGUUGCAGCUCUUCUUCUCCCCUCGAUCCGGAUGCUCUGCUCUCCAACCCGAUCUAUUCCAAGCGAAAGAUUUUUUUUCAUCCUCUCAUGCCCAUUGCCUCUAGCAAAUGUCAUCUCCCAGCUCAUGGCCUCGCCCCCAUGUUUUUUUCUUACUGCACUAAGCUGCAAAAGGACACAAAAGCUUUUCUAUCGGUUAAUUUAAUUGGUCACAAACUCACAAUACUCCAUACACAAUCAGUGAUAAUAAGAUUGCCCCUUUCGUGUUUUCUGCGGAAAGUAGCCUCCAUGCUUCUCAAAUCUGGGUGAUGUUUUGUUCAUAGACUUUCAUCCAAAGAGAAGCACAUCGAUGGAGAAAAAAGACGUAGUCAAAGGGAAUUUGUUUCAGGUACAUACUCUGUACUAAUUAAAACAUAGUAUGAGCAAGGUUGACACAAUGAUGUUCUAUCUCUAAAUGUUUUCUAAAAACUGACCUUAUAACUUUUAUGUGGUACUUUCAUCUAAAGAGAAGCACAUCCAUGUAGCUAAUUUGUUGAUCAUAAUUACCAAUGGACAUGUAGCUAAUUUGUUGCUCUAUGUCCUACUGCCAUAGAGCAGAUCGAGAUGCGAGCUGGUGGACACGAUGAGGGAGCAAGCAUCUUGAAUUGGACAGUCGAUCUGUUCUAGGGAGGAGUUCACAGCUUGCCUAUUUCCUCCAUUGCUGCAGGUAUGUUGAUUGAUUUUUUUAUGCGCCAACUAUUAUCAUAUAGGUUACAUUUUUGAGGCAACCACUAUGGGAUAAAACUGAUUGAUGUGUGGAUUUGAAUUAAGCACAUCUUGAUGGUCCAUCUUUUGAAGCAAUGAAAGUCCAUCUAUUGAUGCGAUCUAUGAUGCUUCCUUCAAUGUAUGGGAUAUUGUCUUGAGAUUCAUUUUCUUCAUACUUUAAAAUAUGCACCAAAAAUCGCUUCCUCAGUUCAAAACAAUCCUACAUAUGCAUUAGACAACAUUGUUAUACCAAGUUUGUAUGUGCAAUGUGUAUACAAAUAAGCAUGGUGUAAAUACUCACCUCGGGUAUAGGAAAAUAUAGCUUUCCAUCGCACAAUGAGUGCAUGUUGUUAAAAACUAAAUACCCCGACAAGGCACUGCAUGUAUGAAAUAAACACAUAAUGUGUGUUGAAUGAAUGAAUUAUUUAAUAUUGAAUGCAUUGAAAAGAUUCAUACCAGUGUGAGUUUGUUGGAACAACCGGAACUAUACAUUCCCAUUUAGAGAUAUCGUCCUUGAAUGCAGGAUUUGCAACUUGAAGUGCGAGGUUUAGGUUACUGACCACGGUUUUAAGUAUAUUCUUUCCCAAAGUAGGUACUGGUAUUGGAUCAAAAAUUGAGAUAAUUUUUUUAUCUUGAUCCAAGACAAACAAUAGAAACAGCCCAAAAAUGUCCCAAGGCAAUAAAAUUUGCAAUGAUGCAUGCAUUUAUAAAUACAUGAAAUAUUAAUUAAAACCAAAUAAACCACUGUUUUAAACGAAAAAUUAAAAUCUUACCAUAUCACACUGUGAGAUAUGAUACUCAUUGCUGUCAGGCCAGCUAUGAAAGAAUUGUUUAAACGUAGCACUGUCCAUAUUUUCAUGAUGACUUGGGUCUCGUACAUAUUGGAACAUGGACUAAUAUAAAAAUAAGAAAACAAUAGUGCUAUGAGAAAAAAUAUGUAAAACGCAAUUAUAAUAACUUACACAAAAGUUUAGAUCCAUGUAGUGAGAUGGAAUGUCUCUAAGAAGCUGGACUUCGUGCCGCGCUAGUAUCCGCACAACCAUGUUAAAGCAAUCAAUAUCCAUAUAUUCAUCAUUGUUUAAUAUGUUUUUUAUUUGUCUCAACUUUAAGCUGAUAGGGUAAGGAUCAGAGCUUUUCACCCAUUCGCUUCUGUAAAAUCAAAAUUUCGUCAAUUAUAAUGACAUGAGAGUAAUUUAUUAGAAUACAAAAUGAACUAAAAGAACAAGGCUUACUCUAGUAAAGCGUCAUCAUCAAUCAUACUGAUGAACAAGCACAGUUCGUCUAUUAAGUCAUCGUUUGUUGGGUUGACACACGGUGAAAGGAUAUAUGACUGUGAGAUGAGCUCAACAUCUAAUGAUGUGUUCGAUGUUUUGAGAUUAUGAGGGCGUCCAUCCAGAAUCAUACAAUCCAUGGGAUCUAUAUUGAUUUCGUCAUCUUCCAUGUCUCGAUUUCUUAUAUUAUCAUCAUUCAAUUCCGAGUCCACUAAAAUGACAGCUAGUUUUGUUCUAAAAUCUGUCAUAUGAUCCUAUUAAAGUAGAAAUAAGAGUUAGAUAAUGAUACAACAUAGAAUAAGUAUUACAUAAAAAUGAUCCUAUUAAAGUAGAAAUAAGAGUUAAAUAAUGAUACAACAUAGAAUAAGUAUAUAGCUGCAAAUGAUCCUAUUUUCAGAAUCUUUCGGAUGAGAUCUAACCUAAGAUUCGGAGACCUCUUAACCCUGUGAAACAAGUUUUCAUCUGUAUCAUAAAUAUAUAGCUGCAAAUGUCGAGGGCCAUUAUCAGAAGACAAUAGAUCGUCAAGAGCGUGGUACAACCGCCCACAUGCACGAAAUGUAUAUACACCGGUCCCUGCUGCGGUGCUGACUCGACGAUCAAGUGUGACUCCAAGACUUGUGAAAGAGAAAUGAGAGUUGAAAUACCGUAUAUUUUCUCUGAAAUAUUUAGCAUCCUCAUCAUCCCGACUUGUAAACAACCUUUUCAACUCUUCAGGAACAUCUGGAGUAAAUAUAUCCACUUUCCCCUUUUUGCAACAAAACGCAGGCCCCUCGUAUUGAAUCCUCAAAGCUCCACAGUGGCGGCAAUCACUAACUUUCCUAAGCACAUGGUGUUUUUUUGGGCAGGUUCAUGUAAACCCUGUCAUAAAUAUCAGUACUGGGAGUCGCAUGACCAUCCUGUUGAUCCACUCGGUAGGAUUCAAAAGCAACUUCUGGAUAAGAUUAGACACUUGCAUUAAUCAAACUGCAUGUAGAAAUCAUAGUAUCAUAUGUUAUAGUUUACUGCUAACUCAUGAUAGCAACAAUAUACCUCGUUCCGCGAAUAUCCUAGCUUCUUCAUCAUGGUUAACGGCUGUAGUUUCUAUCUGGUUCCUAUCUCCAUCGCAUUCUAGUACCGAAGAUAUGAAUAAAUCAUUAAGGGUUAGAAAUCAUGUUAAGUUCAUGUUCAACAACAAUGAGGAGAUGAAACACAAAAGGACAUAAUGCACACCAUCAAUGUUGACGGUGUGGACAUCGGGCUCCAGUAUUCCGUAUGCAUGUUCUUCAUGGUCGUUGCCUGAAAACAUUUUGUGUCCCAAUGAGUAAGUACCUUUGGUUGUAACCCUUUGUCAUGUACCCGUUUUAGAAAAAAAUGCACAACACCUUGAUUAUGAGUGGUUUGCCCUGCAGCUGGUGUAGGCUGCAUCACUGGACCAUUAUCAUCAGAAUGCGCUAUACCUGAAACUAUAGGAGAGGGCCAAAUUAAAGAACAAAGUCAAACCUGACCAGUUUUAGGAAAAAACACACAACACCUUGAUUAUGAGUGGUUUGCCCUGGAGCUGGUGUAGGCUGCAUCACUGGACCAUUAUCAUCAGAAUGCGCUAUACCUGAAACUAUAGGAGAGGGCCAAAUUAAAGAAGAAAGUCAAACCUGAGAAUUUAGCACCAUUAAUAAGUCACAGAAGUAACCUCUUGUUUUAAAAGAAUCUUCUUGGAUACGUAGGUUGAGUCGUGGGUUCUCUACGACUUCCAUUUGUGUGACUCUUACUUGUCCAGACUUUCGUUGAAUCUGGUAUGCAUCAUUUCUGUGCAACCAAUCGGAUUCGUCGCCAUCAUAAAUAUUCUCGUUUUCGUCUAGAAGCUCUCUGGAAUUAGGUACUGCACCACCCGCACAUGUUAUGUUAGCCAGUUGUGUGACUGCUGAUUGUCCGGUAGCAUUGACUUGUGUUACAAGGUUACUGCCAUCAAGGACGACAACAUUAUGCUUUUUCUGGUCACGGGCCUGUCGCUGUCGCUUUAAUAUUAUCUCUCUAUUAUGUGCAUACCGCUCACGUUCAAUGCGGUUCUUAAUAUCACUACGGUCUGAAUAGACAAAGAAUAUAUCGUUAAAUAACAAUACAUAUGGGCCUUAUAUCAUUUAGUUGAUGGUCAUUACCUUGUGAUAUAGUCAGCUGUGCGUCUGCCGCACUGUUCUCGGCAGCGGCAGUCUUCUUCUGUUUAUAGGCCUCACGCCGUCUCUUAUUAAUCUCAUCCCUAUUUUGUCCAUACCGCUCUCUAUCCCUUUGCCUUUUUACUUCUUUAGGGUCUGUAAUAAAUGAGACAAUUUAGCAGUCUAGCAAGAAAACAAAAAUAUACUGAUUAGGUACUGAUCAUCACCCAACGAUUGGGAGUUGCUUAUAUCCUGGAAGGGGGUGCGUGUCCCGUUGGGAGUGGUUGGUGUCAUACGAACUCCGCAAACUCUGUUUAUGUGAAAAAUGUCAUCAUACCAUUGUACAGGAAGGUAUAGAGUUCCAUGUUGAACUACAUCCUAUAAUACAAAGUUGUACUAAGCUUAAGACACUUAUUUUGGAAUGGAGGGAGUACAUGCAUGUAUAUAGUUAUAUAUAGUGUGACGGCCAGAUUGCUCAAGUGCGAAUAUAUAUUUUUACAAUUUAAUAUCAUCAUUAGUACACGAACUUGCACAUCAUUCACAAAUUCAUACACAAGCUUGAAAAAUUCAUAAAAGUGGGCACAGAACUCACUUACAGUUUAAUAUCAUCACUGGUACACGAACUUGCACAACAUUAACAAAUUAAUGCUUGAAAAAGUCAUAAAAGUGGCGACAGAACUCACUAUACUGUACCAAUUUGGUACAAAAUAAUGUAGCGGCUGCUAGUUCGGACGCCACGGCAGCGAGUGCACCAGCGCUCCUUAUUUCAAUAAAACCCCAUGAUUAAAUGACACAUAAUCCAGAAUUUCUAUGAAGUUAAACUGUUCAGUGGAUCAAGAUGUAGUUGUUAUGAUAAUUUUUUGCAGAAAGACAACCAGAUCAAUCAAAGCAAUAGAUUAUUAAUUAUUUAGAACAAUGCAUCAUGAUGUAGUUGUUAUGAUAAUAUCUUGCAGAAAGACAACCAGAUCAGUCAAAGCAAUAGAUGGAUCUGAACGCAGAGAGAAGGCAACACCUUAUACGGCGUAUAGCUUGUCGUUGCGGCCUUGGACGGGUGCCUCGGCGGCUGCAGCUGUAUUGGUGAAGACCUCGUCGUCGCGGCCGUUGGAGGAUGCGUCGACGUUUGCAGCUCUGUUGGUGGAGAGGUCGUCGUAGCGGCUGUUGGUUGAUGCGUCGACGGCUGCGUCUCGACGGCGACGACGACGCACGAACUGCUGGACGUGAAUUAUUUGUUGCUGUUUGUUUCCCUUACUUGCUGUUUGUUUCCGUAAUAAGUUGCUGGACGUGACGUGAAUUCUGCUUCUUUCUGUUUUAUGAUUUCCCUUAUUUCCUGUUUGUUUCCGUAAUAAGUUGCUAGACGUGACGUGAAUUCAGCUACUUUCUGUUAUAUAUGAUUUCCCUUAUUUGCUGUUUGUUACCAUAUAAUUUUCGAAGGAAG